GUGUGUUCCAGGUAAAUCCGGUUCACUUUAACACUGAGGCGUGACGACGAGGCACUACGGUGCUGAAGCAACAAAUGCCCUGCUUCCAGGAAAAGCCUCUAAGCAUCAGGUAACACGAAAUCGUACCCCAAACCGACACAGGUGGUCAGGUAGAGAAUACCAAGGCGCUUGAGAGAACUCGGGUGAAGGAACUAGGCAAAAUGGUGCCGUAACUUCGGGAGAAGGCACGCUGACACGUAGGUGAAGUGAUUUACUCAUGGAGCUGAAGUCAGUCGAAGAUACCAGCUGGCUGCAACUGUUUAUUAAAAACACAGCACUGUGCAAACACGAAAGUGGACGUAUACGGUGUGACGCCUGCCCGGUGCCGGAAGGUUAAUUGAUGGGGUCAGCGCAAGCGAAGCUCCUGAUCGAAGCCCCGGUAAACGGCGGCCGUAACUAUAACGGUCCUAAGGUAGCGAAAUUCCUUGUCGGGUAAGUUCCGACCUGCACGAAUGGCGUAAUGAUGGCCAGGCUGUCUCCACCCGAGACUCAGUGAAAUUGAACUCGCUGUGAAGAUGCAGUGUACCCGCGGCAAGACGGAAAGACCCCGUGAACCUUUACUAUAGCUUGACACUGAACAUUGAGCCUUGAUGUGUAGGAUAGGUGGGAGGCUUUGAAGCGUGGACGCCAGUCUGCGUGGAGCCGACCUUGAAAUACCACCCUUUAAUGUUUGAUGUUCUAACGUGGACCCGUAAUCCGGGUUGCGGACAGUGUCUGGUGGGUAGUUUGACUGGGGCGGUCUCCUCCUAAAGAGUAACGGAGGAGCACGAAGGUUGGCUAAUCCUGGUCGGACAUCAGGAGGUUAGUGCAAUGGCAUAAGCCAGCUUGACUGCGAGCGUGACGGCGCGAGCAGGUGCGAAAGCAGGUCAUAGUGAUCCGGUGGUUCUGAAUGGAAGGGCCAUCGCUCAACGGAUAAAAGGUACUCCGGGGAUAACAGGCUGAUACCGCCCAAGAGUUCAUAUCGACGGCGGUGUUUGGCACCUCGAUGUCGGCUCAUCACAUCCUGGGGCUGAAGUAGGUCCCAAGGGUAUGGCUGUUCGCCAUUUAAAGUGGUACGCGAGCUGGGUUUAGAACGUCGUGAGACAGUUCGGUCCCUAUCUGCCGUGGGCGCUGGAGAACUGAGGGGGGCUGCUCCUAGUACGAGAGGACCGGAGUGGACGCAUCACUGGUGUUCGGGUUGUCAUGCCAAUGGCACUGCCCGGUAGCUAAAUGCGGAAGAGAUAAGUGCUGAAAGCAUCUAAGCACGAAACUUGCCCCGA
This 1298-nucleotide ribosomal RNA is filed under the name Salmonella enterica. RNAcentral describes it as "partial 23S ribosomal RNA". It matches the Rfam family "Bacterial large subunit ribosomal RNA", at positions 1525 to 2802 of the family's 2925-position model. Lineage: Bacteria; Pseudomonadati; Pseudomonadota; Gammaproteobacteria; Enterobacterales; Enterobacteriaceae. RNAcentral also lists the same sequence under 1 other name. The record is from RNAcentral.